RNAcentral lists this ribosomal RNA (229 nucleotides) under uncultured bacterium. RNAcentral's name for it is "partial 16S ribosomal RNA". It matches the Rfam family "Bacterial small subunit ribosomal RNA", at positions 568 to 796 of the family's 1533-position model. The record is from RNAcentral.
UGUGUAGGUGUCCUGCUAAGUCGGGUGUGAAAUCCUUCAGCUUAACUGGAGAAUUGCGCUCGAAACUAACAGGAUUGAGUGUAUGAGAGGAGAGGGGAAUUCUUGGUGUAAGAGUGAAAUCUGUAGAUAUCAAGAAGAACACCUGCGGCGAAGGCGCCUCUCUGGCAUACAACUGACACUGAAACACGAAAGCGUGGGUAGCAAACAGGAUUAGAUACCCUGGUAGUCC